AUUAACAUCCUUUGGCACCACAUCACCACGGAACAUGAGACAGCAAGCCAUGUACUUGCCAUGACGAGGGUCACACUUAACCAUCAUAGAAGAUGGCUCAAAGGCACUGUUAGUGAUUUCUGCAACUGAAAGCUGCUCAUGGUAGGCCUUCUCAGCAGAAAUGACGGGGGCAUAUGAGGAAAGCAUAAAAUGGAUCCUGGGAUAGGGGACAAGAUUGGUCUGGAAUUCAUUCACAUCAACAUUCAGAGCUCCAUCAAACCUCAAAGAAGCUGUCAGAGAAGAUAUAACCUGUGAGAUAAGGCGAUUGAGAUUGGUGUAGGUAGGGC
This 326-nucleotide unclassified non-coding RNA is filed under the name Hevea brasiliensis (rubber tree). Lineage: Eukaryota; Viridiplantae; Streptophyta; Magnoliopsida; Malpighiales; Euphorbiaceae. The record is from RNAcentral.